UACGAAUGGGGCAAGCGUUGUUCGGAAUCACUGGGCUUAAAGCGUAUGUAGGCGGACAAGAAAGUCAGGAGUGAAAUCCCAGGGCUCAACCCUGGAACUGCUUUUGAAACUCCUUGUCUAGAAUCCGGUAGAGGUUAGGAGAAUUCCCAGUGUAGAGGUGAAAUUCGCAGAUAUUGGGAGGAAUACCAGUGGCGUAGGCGCCUAACUGGACCGGUAUUGACGCUCAGAUACGAAAGCGUGGGGAGCAAACAGGAUUAGAUACCCUGGUAGUCCACGCUGUAAACUAUGUGUGCUAGUUGUUGGGCCCUUAAGGGUUCAGUGACGCAGGGAAACCAUUAAGCACACCGCCUGGGGAGUACGGUCGCAAGAUUA
This 372-nucleotide ribosomal RNA is filed under the name uncultured bacterium. RNAcentral describes it as "bacterial SSU rRNA". It matches the Rfam family "Bacterial small subunit ribosomal RNA", at positions 524 to 896 of the family's 1533-position model. The record is from RNAcentral.